Molecule: ribosomal RNA, 253 nt
Filed under: uncultured bacterium
Lineage: Bacteria
Description: partial 16S ribosomal RNA
Rfam family: Bacterial small subunit ribosomal RNA
Source: RNAcentral
UACGUAGGGCGCAAGCGUUGUCCGGAAUUAUUGGGCGUAAAGAGCUCGUAGGCGGCUUGUCACGUCUGCUGUGAAAUCCCGGGGCUCAACCCCGGGCGUGCAGUGGAUACGGGCUGGCUAGAGGCAGGCAGGGGAGAACGGAAUUCCCGGUGUAGCGGUGAAAUGCGCAGAUAUCAGGAGGAACACCAAUGGCGAAGGCAGCACUCUGGGACGGUACUGACGCUGAGACGCGAAAGCGUGGGGAGCAAACAGG